This 1038-nucleotide long non-coding RNA is filed under the name Vigna radiata. Its description in RNAcentral is "long non-coding RNA (VRAD_LNC018375)". The record is from RNAcentral. Lineage: Eukaryota; Viridiplantae; Streptophyta; Magnoliopsida; Fabales; Fabaceae.
AAAUUAAAAUUAUAUUUUAAUAAAAUAAAAUUAGGUAGGUGGGUUGGUGGGUCAACCUAGCCUACCAUGGGUUCAAUCCGGAUGAACCAAGUUUAAAUGAGUUGGGUUAAAAUCUGACCCUCAUAAGAAAAAUAUAGGGGUGUUGUUCCCUCCACCUCCCCAGAUUUUUGUAACUUUUUUUUAAUUACAAAAAUAACCUUUCCUUUAUAUUUAUUUAUUUUAUUUUUACUUUUUAACCCCUAUUUAUGUAUUCCUAAAUUUCUACCUUCUACUUCUACUUUCUACUUCUACUUUCUACUUCAGAGCCCCACCUCCCCUUCUCUCUCAAAUUCUUACCCCCCAAAUUCCAGAUCCGUUCUCUCAAACUCCAGAUCCGUUACCCUUGCUCCCAACUCUCACAGUCAUCUCUUCCAUUUCUGCUUUUCGUUGCUUUUAGCUUUUGGUGCGUGCGGCGGUGCGUGCGGCGGUUGAUCGGUGGUUGGUACUUCUAAGUCUACAAGAGGUUAGUUUUUCUAUGUGUGCAUUCUGCUUCUCUGUGUGUGCUGUGCGUGACUGUUGUUAUGAGGUUUUCUGUGUGUGCGUAGAAGGAAGAAGACGCCCAGGCCUGAACGGAUGUGCGUGACUGUUGCUUCUAAGUCACCUUUAAUGAUUUUGCCUAAUGUUGUUUGCUAUUAGCAUCUCCUCUUAAUUUAAACCUCAAUGUUUUUGCAGAUUUAAAAAGCUUAUAAAUUUUAAAAUGGAUUGGUUCCAUUUUGUUUCUGGUGAUGCAAAGGGGAAUGUUUCAUACGAAGAAUUUUGUCCUCUAAAUAGCUAGCAGAUAUAUUAUAUUGUCAAAUGGUUUUGAUACACAAUAGUGUCAAAGUUGUUUAAAGUUCGUAUGCAACAGAUCAUUGGAUAACCAUAUUUUACUCUUUCAUUUUCUGAGCAAACUCUAGUUUAAAAGUUGUCAUCCUCACCCCAUAGAGAUGUAUUCGCUGCAAAGGAAGAAGUAAAAUAGUAAAGUUAACAUGAGGAAAAUAUGAAGACUAAGAGAGUAUA